AGAUGUUGAGGCCUGUCUCUAGUCUGUUGAGGCUAGAUGUUGAGGCCUGUCUCCUAGUCUGUUGAGGCCUGUCUCCUAGUCUGUUGAGGCUAGAUGUUGAGGCCUGUCUCCUAGUCUGUUGAGGCUAGAUGUUGAGGCCUGUCUUCUAGUCUGUGGACUAAGACACUUAAAUGAUUUUAAGGGAAAUGUUUGUUUGUGCUAUUCUUUUAACAAAUGUCUGUUUUAUUCAUGUGCUGUUCUGUAAACUAAUUUGUGUGUUCAUCAAGUGGCUGACUGUACAAAUCCUCACUAUCAGUAGCUGUAAUUUAGCAGUAAGGCCAGACGUUGGUUUGAGAAGGAGAUAUCUCAGUUUCAAGGUCUCAGUUUAGAGAGAAGAAGUCUCGUGAGGUGUUGGUCUGUCAAAUGCUAUGAACCAGUAUUGGUCGGUCACAUGAAUGAAGCAAACAGUAAUUAAUCAUUAAUUAUACUAAAUCAUGCAAAUGUACCUUGUCUGUGUAUAGCUAUAUAUAAGAAAACUGCUGGGGCUGCCCCAGGCAUAGCCCCUGAUUGACAUGUGUACUAUGGUGCAUUUAGUUGGUUGGAACCUUUCCAGCUCACUGACAAUAAAUAAUGAUUCAUUUAA
Oncorhynchus nerka (sockeye salmon) is the source of this 622-nucleotide long non-coding RNA. RefSeq lists it as uncharacterized. The transcript is spliced from 2 exons. The record is from RefSeq and is a predicted model, not a curated record. Lineage: Eukaryota; Metazoa; Chordata; Actinopteri; Salmoniformes; Salmonidae.